RNAcentral lists this microRNA precursor (95 nucleotides) under Corchorus capsularis. Its description in RNAcentral is "pre miRNA MIR473". It matches the Rfam family "MIR473 microRNA precursor family". The record is from RNAcentral. Lineage: Eukaryota; Viridiplantae; Streptophyta; Magnoliopsida; Malvales; Malvaceae.
AUUGUUCACUCUCCCUCAAGGGCUUCCAGCAAUUGCUUGGAAACCAGAUCCUGAUCACUAGCAAUGCUCGAGGCCUUUUUGAGGAGAGUGAAGAA